CGCGGGGUGGAGCAGCUUGGUAGCUCGUCGGGCUCAUAACCCGAAGGUCGUUGGUUCAAAUCCAGCCCCCGCAACCACUU
This 80-nucleotide transfer RNA is filed under the name Histophilus somni 129PT. RNAcentral's name for it is "tRNA-Met". It matches the Rfam family "tRNA". Rfam says of the family: Transfer RNA (tRNA) molecules are approximately 80 nucleotides in length. The record is from RNAcentral. Lineage: Bacteria; Pseudomonadati; Pseudomonadota; Gammaproteobacteria; Pasteurellales; Pasteurellaceae.